CUGAGAGUGCAGGAUCAGGUCCCUGGAAUAAUGGAUUUGGGGUGUGCUGGACAGUCUGCUGGGCUGGGAAGCUGAAUUCCAGGUCAAUCUCUGCCAUGGACUUGCCGUAUAAUCCUGACCUUACAUUUAUGGACUAAGAAUCCAACUGUUGGAUGGUUCCCCAUAUGAAAACCAGAAUUACUGCAGCUGAAGAGGUACAGGAAGACUGAGGGCAGAAGAAGAAAGAAAGGCCAGAGAUGACAGGAGAGAGCUUCGGCUGAAAGGUGGACAGGACCAGCAAGAAUCCCCUGUGGUGUGGAGCGCCUGUGAACUUGCACUGAACAAACCACCAAGAAAUAUGAUGAUGGCAGAGAGGCUUCUUAUAGCAGAUGGAAGCAGCACAUUCGAUUAGGUAAAUGACGAUGUGUUACCAAGUCAUCAUUAAAAUCAAAUUUUAGGGG
This is a long non-coding RNA of Lynx canadensis (Canada lynx), 440 nucleotides long. RefSeq lists it as uncharacterized. The record is from RefSeq and is a predicted model, not a curated record. The transcript is spliced from 3 exons. Lineage: Eukaryota; Metazoa; Chordata; Mammalia; Carnivora; Felidae.